Non-coding RNA from Pelobates cultripes (western spadefoot toad), 313 nucleotides. The record is from the annotation of a GenBank genome assembly. NCBI's taxonomy places the organism in Eukaryota, Metazoa, Chordata, Amphibia, Anura, Pelobatidae.
CUACAAAUAUUUCCAGCAUGGCCUCUCUGGGACACAUGGAGGAAUUUGAUCUGACUCCAGCCUCAUGGGACUCAUAUUCUGACAGUUUUUUCCCUGGAAGCUAAUAAGGUAGUUGAUGCUAUUCAGAAGAGAGCUGUGUUACUGAGUGUUAUUGGAUCCAAGACUUUUGAUACUGUCCGCUCACUGAUAUCUCCUGCUAAACCACAAGACUACUUAUUUGAAGAAAUACUGGCACUGUUAAAACAUCAUUUAGCACCCUCCCCAUCUGAAACAGUGAGGCGUUUCCAUUUCAAUAGAAGAAAUCAGAAACCAG